AUACGCAAUUGGCAAAACUGGCAGCUGAAAGGAUCCUGAAUCAGAAGUUUACUUUAUCAGGACAGAGAACUUGACAACCAGGGUCUUAUAUGUAAAAAUACCCGAAUAAAACUCAUUCACUAACUCAGAAGAAAUUUGCAAGACUGUGAAAAUCUUUGAAUACAAUGUAAAAGUUUUUACUCCAACACAGUGAAAAGGUGAGAAUGUUUUAUACAUCAAUAUAAAAAUUGACCUGAAGUACCCAUGACAUUGAAUAUGUAUGUUCUGAAGAG
RNAcentral lists this long non-coding RNA (272 nucleotides) under Papio anubis (olive baboon). RNAcentral describes it as "lncRNA (ENSPANG00000038924.1)". Lineage: Eukaryota; Metazoa; Chordata; Mammalia; Primates; Cercopithecidae. The record is from RNAcentral.